CGUCACCGCUUACGCCGGAAGCUCCCGUGUUUCCGCGUCUCCCAGGGGGAUACUGCGGGUGGAGCUGCCGAAAGUGCUGGUAAAGAUUUCCCAAGACCAAAAAGCUUACGUGCACUGCCCCAUUCCACUGUUUCUGCUGCUGGUUCUGCUUUGACUCUCCCAGAAGAAAACCAGGGUUGUCACUGGAAGUUCCUGAAGUAAUCUCCUUUUCAAGCAAACUUUGAUUAUUAUACUAUUUGGUAAUACACAAUAUUGGCAACAAUGCAACAAAACGGACACACUCUACUCUCCAGCGGGAGUCACAGAAAUAUUUUUAAGAAUUUCUGACUACAGAAAAUUGGUUUCUUAAUUCCCUGUGCCAAGUUCAGAAAUAUACCCUCAUGGAACAAGAUAACUAAAAGAAGGAAACUACUUCAAGGUUAGAAAAAGGAAAAGAAAAGAAAGAAGAAAGGAAAGAAGCAGAAGGAAGAACUCUGCUGCAGUAUUGGAAGCAGGCAGGUUAUUUAAAUUAUAGUGGUGCCAUGGAACAAGAGAAGGCAGAUGAAGAGUGACACCUUUCAAGUUAACACAGUGGACAUGCGGGUUAUUUCCACCUCUUGGCUGUUGGAAAUUCAUUACCUUUUGAGUCAAGGAAUCACAAGCUAUUUUGACUGAAGUGUCCUGUUAAGAACAGGUGAAGAAAGAUUCCAGGAACAGUUAACAAUAGAAUCCUUAAGAUUCAGAACUCUUUGCUGUUUACCAGCAACAGACGAGAGGAAGAAGUGGCUCUGGGGACAUUGUGUGCCAGUCUGCGGCAGGUUGGCUGGAGAAGCAACCCUGGUUGCAGCUUUGGAGAGAGAGAUGUGCAUUUACUUUUACCUGGAAAACCUAUGAAAAAAAAUUCUUGUAAAUCUGUCGUUUGUGUAUCCUCAAGGUUUGUGCCAGAAAGCAGGUAUAUCUGCUCCUGUGUGUAAUUGUUGUUAAAAAACACAAAAAGGAAAUAAAAGUGCACAACAUACCUGGCAGAAUUGACCAGAGGGAAUUGGGAAAGGCUAAAGUAAAUUCUUCUAAAAAAUAAGCAAGCAAGGGAGAGGAGCGUGGAGGAGCAAGUGCUCUCCCUGUGCUGGGG
Long non-coding RNA from Rhinopithecus roxellana (golden snub-nosed monkey), 1108 nucleotides. RefSeq lists it as uncharacterized. The record is from RefSeq and is a predicted model, not a curated record. The transcript is spliced from 7 exons. NCBI's taxonomy places the organism in Eukaryota, Metazoa, Chordata, Mammalia, Primates, Cercopithecidae.